UACAGAGAGGGCAAGCGUUGUUCGGAAUUACUGGGCGUAAAGGGCGCGUAGGCGGCCUGUUAAGUCGAACGUGAAAUCCCCGGGCUCAACCCGGGAACUGCGUCCGAUACUGGCAGGCUUGAAUCCGGGAGAGGGAUGUGGAAUUCCAGGUGUAGCGGUGAAAUGCGUAGAUAUCUGGAGGAACACCGGUGGCGAAGGCGGCAUCCUGGACCGGUAUUGACGCUGAGGCGCGAAAGCCAGGGGAGCAAACGGG
RNAcentral lists this ribosomal RNA (253 nucleotides) under uncultured bacterium. RNAcentral describes it as "partial 16S ribosomal RNA". It matches the Rfam family "Bacterial small subunit ribosomal RNA", at positions 524 to 776 of the family's 1533-position model. The record is from RNAcentral.